This 766-nucleotide ribosomal RNA is filed under the name uncultured archaeon. RNAcentral's name for it is "bacterial SSU rRNA". It matches the Rfam family "Archaeal small subunit ribosomal RNA", at positions 39 to 806 of the family's 1478-position model. The record is from RNAcentral.
UUCGAUUAAGCCAUGCGAGUUAAAUGUUCUUCGUGAACAUAGCAGACUGCUCAGUAACACGUGGAUAACCUGCCCUUAGGACUGGCAUAACCCCGGGAAACUGGGGAUAAUUCCGGAUAGAUCAUAAAUGCUGGAAUGCUUUAUGAUUGAAAGGUUUCGACCGCCUUAGGAUGGAUCUGCGGCCUAUCAGGUUGUAGUGGGUGUAAUGUACCUACUAGCCUACGACGGGUACGGGUUGUGGAAGCAAGAGCCCGGAGAUGGAUUCUGAGACAUGAAUCCAGGCCCUACGGGGCGCAGCAGGCGCGAAAACUUUACAAUGCGGGAAACCGUGAUAAGGGAACACUGAGUGCUAGCAUUUAUGUUAGCUGUCCACAUGUGUAAAUAGCAUGUGAUAGCAAGGGCUGGGCAAGACCGGUGCCAGCCGCCGCGGUAACACCGGCAGCCCGAGUGGUGAUCACUAUUAUUGGGUCUAAAGGGUCCGUAGCCGGUUUAAUCAGUCUUCUGGGAAAUCUAAUCGCUUAACUAUUAGGCUUCCAGGGGAUACUGUUAGACUUGGGACCGGGAGAGGUAAGAGGUACUGCAGGGGUAGGAGUGAAAUCUUGUAAUCCCUGUGAGACCACCAGUGGCGAAGGCGUCUUACCAGAACGGGUCCGACGGUGAGGGACGAAAGCUGGGGGCACGAACCGGAUUAGAUACCCGGGUAGUCCCAGCUGUAAACGAUGCUCGUUAGGUGUCAGGAACGGUGCGACUGUUUCUGGUGCCGACC